RNAcentral lists this long non-coding RNA (1447 nucleotides) under Nicotiana benthamiana. RNAcentral describes it as "long non-coding RNA (NBEN_LNC024291)". Lineage: Eukaryota; Viridiplantae; Streptophyta; Magnoliopsida; Solanales; Solanaceae. The record is from RNAcentral.
CUAGAGAUGCUUUUAUCAGUGAAAUGCAAUUAGGAAUAUGCAACCGAUAUAGUUAUUCUUUUCUCUAUGAUUAAUCAAAUUGGAUCACACCUUGAUUUAGUAAUUCUGCCUUUCAAUUGGUGGAUAAUAAUUGCCACUUGUGAAUUAAGAAUGAGUCUUAUAUAGGGGACAGUUUAAACAAAAUUUUACACUAUCAGGUUUCCAAGAGAUAUUUACAAGUAACCCUCCACAAAAAGUGGCACUUGUAACUUGAAACAAGGCAAGUUACCUGCUACAAUGGUACGUGCAACCUGAUACCAUCGGUGGAUAUUAGUUGAACUCAUUAAGAUUUUUUGUCGUAGAGGAUACUAUUUGAGCAAGUUGAAUGAGAGGAGUGAGUAUUUAGUUUUUAUAUUGCUUUCAGUCUUCCUAGUUUCUUUUUUUGGAGAUACAAAUUACAAAAGAAAACAACUAGUUUUGAUGUCUGAUAUUUUCCAGAUCGUUUCUGUUCUUUUUUGUUUUCCCAAACUUGAGCUAAUGAGGCAAGUUCUGCCUAUUUGAGUUCCACAAAUCAGAGCUACUCUUACUCUCUUAGACCUUUUUAAAGGAGGAAGGUCGCCGUAGAUUCAUAGCUAAAGUAAAAAUAGUCCAACUAUGGUGGAUACGAUUUAGGAGAAGAGCGGAAUGGAUACACAGGGUUUGUAUAGUGUAUUCCGACCAGUUUAGGAUUGUGAAGUAGUUGAUGGUCGAUUGAUUAGUUGACAGCAGCCAGGGAUUUGAAGUCGGAGAUUGGAGAUCGAAUUUGUAGCAUUCUGGCUACUGAGUUAUUGCACAGGACUUUUUGUCAGGAUCUCCAAGGGCAAUGUUUCCCCUCUCCCCCCAAGAGACAAGAAAUGACACUACCACAAACAGAUGCUACUCUGCUACCUUAUGCUGCAUUUCAAGAUAUCCGGAUGUGGAAUGUCAUUUCCUAUUUAUUUUUCUUAUCCACUUUGAUCAGGUUCAGCCUUACCUAUCUUCUUGUUUAUUUGGAUGGUAAUACAUGUUUUUGCAUAUCUAUAUGUUUGGAGAUAGUUACUUACACCCUCCCUAACAAAAAGUGUUAUUAGUUAUUACAGUAGGCCUCAAGUAAGAGGGUUCCUUUUCUUUUUUCUCUAUUCACGCUUCUUGUCAAUAGCAACCAUCUUGAGCAAGUAUAUGUCUGUUACUGCUUACACAGUGAAAUAAUCUCCAUUCAGUUUUAGGCUUUUAAUCAUUACCAUUGUCACCAUUUCUUUAUGGUGUCAGACUUGGUAUAUAUAUGCUUUUGUUUGUGAUGAAUGUGAUGCAUAUAUGAGGUCUCUUUUUCAAGUUGCGAGAUCUCUUACGCAAGCAGCAGUUUUAAAGUCCUUGAUGCCGAGGAUAAUUGUGUGCAUGCAGUUAAUAGGGUCUCUUUUUCAAGUUGCAAGAUCUCUUACACAAGCAGCAG